GACGGACGCUGGCGGCGUGCUUAACACAUGCAAGUCGAACGAAGAGCGAUGGAAGCUUGCUUCUAUCAAUCUUAGUGGCGAACGGGUGAGUAACGCGUAAUCAACCUGCCCUUCAGAGAGGGACAACAGUUGGAAACGACUGCUAAUACCGCAUACGAUCUAAUCUCGGCAUCGAGGAUAUAUGAAAGGUGGCUGGUACAUGUAAGCUCUCACUGGAGGAGGGGAUUGCGUCUGAUUAGCUAGUUGGGGGGCUAACGGCCAACCAAGGCGAUGAUCAGUAGACGGUCUGCGAGGAUGAGCGGCCACACUGGGAUGGGGGCACGGCCAAGCACACUGCGGGAGGGAGCCGGGCGGGAUUCUUCGCAAUGGAAGCAAGUCGGAAGGAGGAACGCCGCGCGAGAGCUGACGGCAUUCGGGCUGCAAAGGUCAGUUAAUCGGGACGAAAGGCAUCCUUGCGAAUACGGAGAAGGAUUGACGGUACCGGAAGAGAAAGCCACGGCUAACUACGUG
This 510-nucleotide ribosomal RNA is filed under the name uncultured bacterium. RNAcentral describes it as "partial 16S ribosomal RNA". It matches the Rfam family "Bacterial small subunit ribosomal RNA", at positions 28 to 507 of the family's 1533-position model. The record is from RNAcentral.